RNAcentral lists this ribosomal RNA (318 nucleotides) under Triticum aestivum (bread wheat). RNAcentral describes it as "partial small subunit ribosomal RNA". The record is from RNAcentral. Lineage: Eukaryota; Viridiplantae; Streptophyta; Magnoliopsida; Poales; Poaceae.
AUGUAUAGCGGCAAUUCACUUAGGAGUACAAUUGCAGUGGGUAAUGACAAGAAGCGACAGCGGGUCUACAACACUAUGUUUCAUGUGCCUUGGAGAUGUGAAUGGCAGGAUUCUUUGUCUGCUUUGGAUUCCUUUCUGUCUUUGCUCACCAUUAUACCUGCAAGAAUUGUGAUGACAGUUUGGCGAGUGCUGAACACUAGAGGAGCUCCCAACUCACGCCCUAGAGUGCGAGGAGGAAGCAGGGGGUGGUGGCCUGGCAUGGAACGCGUCAAAAUCCCUUGCCGCGCGGGGCGCAGAAAUGGGAGAGGAUGCCGGUAG